This 298-nucleotide ribosomal RNA is filed under the name uncultured bacterium. RNAcentral describes it as "partial 16S ribosomal RNA". It matches the Rfam family "Bacterial small subunit ribosomal RNA", at positions 333 to 648 of the family's 1533-position model. The record is from RNAcentral.
UAUUGCCUACGGGGGGCAGCAGUGGGGAAUAUUGGACAAUGGGGGGAACCCUGAUCCAGCGACGCCGCGUGAGUGAAGAAGUAUUUCGGUAUGUAAAGCUCUAUCAGCAGGGAAGAAAAUGACGGUACCUGACUAAGAAGCCCCGGCUAACUACGUGCCAGCAGCCGCGGUAAUACGUAGGGGGCAAGCGUUAUCCGGAUUUACUGGGUGUAAAGGGAGCGUAGACGGCAAUACAAGUCGGAAGUGAAAUACCCGGGCUCAACCUGGGAACUGCUUUGGCAACUGUAUGGCUGGAGUG